Molecule: ribosomal RNA, 427 nt
Filed under: uncultured prokaryote
Description: bacterial SSU rRNA
Rfam family: Bacterial small subunit ribosomal RNA
Source: RNAcentral
UGGGGAAUUUUGGACAAUGGGCGCAAGCCUGAUCCAGCCAUGCCGCGUGCAGGAUGAAGGCCUUCGGGUUGUAAACUGCUUUUGUACGGAACGAAAAGACUCUGGUUAAUACCUGGGGUCCAUGACGGUACCGUAAGAAUAAGCACCGGCUAACUACGUGCCAGCAGCCGCGGUAAUACGUAGGGUGCGAGCGUUAAUCGGAAUUACUGGGCGUAAAGCGUGCGCAGGCGGUUAUGUAAGACAGAUGUGAAAUCCCCGGGCUCAACCUGGGAACUGCAUUUGUGACUGCAUAGCUAGAGUACGGCAGAGGGGGAUGGAAUUCCGCGUGUAGCAGUGAAAUGCGUAGAUAUGCGGAGGGACACCGAUGGCGAAGGCAAUCCCCUGGGCCUGUACUGACGCUCAUGCACGAAAGCGUGGGGAGCAAACA